GGCUGACCACAAAUUCAAAUUCAAACUAAAGUGAUGACCCUUUUCCCGAUUAAACGGUAGAGGACAGAGGAUUUACUACUGAUAAUUACUGCGUGGGCGAACACUGCAUCGUAACCUUAGAAUUUGUUUCUGCAGAACAUGCAUGAGUCAGACUACUGCAGAAGGAGUCAGAGGAGGAGAUCGAGAGUUAUAGCUGCCCUCUGUCCACUAGCUAACUAAUCAUCACGUGACAGGUACUUUCCCUUCUAGCUCUAACAUGCAUUAGAGAACCCUAGAUAGAGUAGUAACUCUCCCUCCUCUACGUUCUCUGAGAACGCUGUCAGGCACAGAGAUUUGCAAAAUACACUGGAGAUGAGUUAUAAUAACAAAUUGAAGAGGAUUUUUAUCGUAUGUUUUUCAUUGGUACUUCUUUUGAUCGGUAUCUAUAUCUAUAUCUAUCAAUAUAAGCAAUUAACCCACCGAGUGUUAACUCAUUCAGGAUUAGAUGUCUAUUCUUCUAUGGUUAUUCGAUCAGCAUACAUUGACAAACGUGUGAAAGAUGGUCACAAACACUCCGUAGUGAUUUUUGCAGAGGUCUCUAUGGAAUUACGCAAAUAUGGAUUAAUUGAAGGCUGCGGUGCCGGUGCUGAUACCAUUGCCAUUAAUGCUAAAGCUUUCAAAAUAACUCCUCUUUACUUUCUUUGGAUUAAUGAAAAUUACCCAAAACUUACUCACGAGGAGAUAAUGAUUGAUUGUUACGAUCUUGAACUCCAUGAAAACAACACAGUUUUUUUGCGUUACCGUCCACUUCCAAACUCGAAUAUAUUAAUAACAAGUGCUGUUAACGUUACAUACACUGUGCGUGGAGGUGACUAUAAAGACAAAGUUGUUGUUUGUACGACAUGCUUUGGCAAACCAUAUUGGUUAAGUGAGUGGUUGAAAUAUCAGAAGACUAUUGGAGUUGAUUUGGUUCAAUUAUAUGUUGAAGAGCAAUUUAUGAGUGACAAUGAAAAUCUCAAAAUUAUUGAAAGUUAUAUUCAAGAAGGUUUUGUGAAAGUGGAGAAUCGCAAAACAUAUUUCAAUACAUCACAGAUUUACUACCACUCACAACUUCUAAACUAUAAUGAUUGUUUGUAUCGCCAUCAAGAAGUGUUUGAAUAUGCCUUCUUUUUAGAUAACGAUGACUUUUUUAUCCCACGUUUACCUAACAAGACUAAUAUACACCACUACAUCAACCAAUUUUUUCCUAAGGACAAUCAAGCAUCAGUUGAAUUUAAAUGGCGUAAAUAUUAUCCAGCUGCAGAUUGUGGCUUAACACAACCGUUAUCAAGUUUGAAAGAUGGAAAUGUAACACGUUUGCUCAAAGUUAAAGAAUUCUGGGCUGCAACGGAGGCAAAAUUUGUUUGUAGACCAACCCUAACGACAAUGGUUGGAAUUCAUGCCACAGGUAGAGAAUUGGAAGGAACAACAACGUAUACAACAUCUAAUGAAGAAAAUUUGGUCUCUCAAAUAAUUAUAUCGAAAUGAGCCAGUUGAUACUGGAAACAUGGUGCAAGAUGCAUAUACCGAGUCCUUGUCGCAUUGUUGCCACGACACAAGCUUAUGCAAGCAUAAAGAAGGGAGGAGUAUCAUCAAUCUUUUCGUGGCUGCAGUGUUACAUGCAGUAGCAUGCUCGCUCAUAAAUUCCAAGGCACCCCAAUAGAUGGCCUCCCAGUCAAUCAACGUAAGAUGUUACUCGGACUACGAAAUCGAUGGUUGGUCGGCAUACGAGAAGUGCCUGGAUUGGUCUAAGCUAAAUGUAUCGUUCUAUCAAUUCUACCUCGCGAGCAAAGCAAGGGUAUGUAGAAUUUUUCCACACUAUUACCAUCAGACAGCUGACAGCACAGAGUCCUCAGAGGUCAGGGUAUAGCACACGAUACAGCAGCUUCAGCAAACCCACAAAUUCAGGAGAAGUAGAGAUUUGCACACUCUAUAAUGCAAAGGGCAGAUCAUGCAAGUACAAUUCGCUCACAUGUGAAAUUUUGCAAGUGGCUUCAUCCAGUACCAGGAACUAGAAAUCCAGCAAAGGGCAGCAGGCCAUCCUAGUGAGGCCGGGAUGGGAACAAGAGACAAACUUAAGGCUUAUUGCCAAAUUAUUCACUACGUCUAGUCUUUAUUAUAUGCUCAUCUGCAUUCAUGAACUAGUUAUAACUCAUGACAUUUAACAUUAAUUAUGUCGUUGUGCAGGUCCAGGAAACCACGAAAAAUGUUGAAGAUACGGCGCCAAAGGUCCCUUCUGUUGAGGCAAGUGGGAAUAGCCUCCUCCUUUUGCCAGAUAAACUAUAUAAGGACGGAAUAUUGAGGUGAAUUUUGUUGAAGCGAGGAGGACUUUCCCUCCAGUCGAAACACAUUGGUAAUGCCAAAGAAAAAGUUCGUCCAGUUACAAAGAUCAUGUUGUGGGCUCAAUGUUUUGCCAACUAUGUUGCAGUCCUGUCAAAGAAGUUUCCGUCGGCAACACUGGAACUUCUGUCUUUACAUGGCGAUUAUCAUAAAAUGUGCCAGGGACUACGAGAGGAUUGCCUGGGCGCAAUAUGAUCGUAAUUAUCGAAAGGCUAAGGGUCAACGCAAAGACUUGUGUUGGUCGCAUCAACUAAACGAUGUUCAUGGUCUGCUUCAAGCAGGAACCUCUGGAGGUUCAUGGCAUGUGCUCAUUACCUGACAGAUUUGAUGCCGGUCUUACGAUUUGUGCAAAUUUUCCCAUAACUUUCAUGUUCUGUGUGUAGCGGGAAUCACCCAAAAGUGUCCUGCACUAGCUCAAAAACAGGAGAGAAACCGGGGGCACAUUACGGGCAUAUGAAGAGGCCCCACAUAUUCUAAAAGGAGGCUAGGCGGCCUGUAGGGUUUGGAACUGGAGCUGUUAAUUGAUGCUGUGUGCCAAGAAGUGAUGCUGUGUGCCAAGAAGCCUCGACGGAGGAGGAAUUGAGGAAGUUCUCCUUUCGGUUUCAUUGUGGAGCUAACAUCUCAACAAAUUGAGAGACAAGGAGCAUAUUAUCGCUAGCAUAUCUAUACAUUUUUGUGUGUAUUCCUGUAAAGUUGAUUGAUGAAAUGAGGCGAGGUCUACUCUCCCUCAACUUUA
Halichondria panicea is the source of this 3094-nucleotide long non-coding RNA. RefSeq lists it as uncharacterized. The record is from RefSeq and is a predicted model, not a curated record. The transcript is spliced from 2 exons. NCBI's taxonomy places the organism in Eukaryota, Metazoa, Porifera, Demospongiae, Suberitida, Halichondriidae.